CGUAGGGUGCGAGCGUUAAUCGGAAUUACUGGGCGUAAAGCGUGCGCAGGCUGUUCUGUAAGUCAGAUGUGAAAUCCCCGAGCUCAACUUGGGAACUGCGUUUGAAACUACAGGACUAGAAUAUGUCAGAGGGGGUAGAAUUCCACGUGUAGCAGUGAAAUGCGUAGAGAUGUGGAGGAAUACCAAUGGCGAAGGCAGCCCCCUGGGAUAAUAUUGACGCUCAUGCACGAAAGCGUGGGGAGCAAACAGGAUUAGAUACCCUGGUAGUCCACGCCCUAAACGAUGUCUACUAGUUGUUGGUGGAGUAAAAUCCAUGAGUAACGCAGCUAACGCGUGAAGUAGACCGCCUGGGGAGUACGGUCGCAAGAUUA
RNAcentral lists this ribosomal RNA (371 nucleotides) under uncultured organism. RNAcentral's name for it is "bacterial SSU rRNA". It matches the Rfam family "Bacterial small subunit ribosomal RNA", at positions 526 to 896 of the family's 1533-position model. The record is from RNAcentral.